Callithrix jacchus (white-tufted-ear marmoset) is the source of this 23150-nucleotide non-coding RNA. The record is from RefSeq and is a predicted model, not a curated record. Lineage: Eukaryota; Metazoa; Chordata; Mammalia; Primates; Cebidae.
GAAAAUUUUUUCUUUAUAUAUUGUUACUAUAUGAAUAUAUAUUAUGGAUAAAUAUGUGUUACAUUAUAUUAUGUGAUAAAAAUUAUACAAUAUAGCUCAUAUAUAUAUACAGAUAUAUAUGCCCAUAUAUAUAUUUUUGGAUAUAUAUUUAUAUCCUUAUAUAUUCACAUAUGUAUUCAUAUAUAGAAAAGAAUGUUUAUAUCUUUUUUUAUAUGUCAUUAUAUGUCCAUAUACAUUUGUAUGUGCUUCAUUUUAUACACUUCAUUGUAUACUAGAAUGGGAGGCCCGUUUUCCCUAAGCAGUUCCUUGUGAAUUUGAGAAGAAAUGUGUGUUGUUCUUUUGGUGAAUCAAGAGCUUUUGGUGUGCAGAAGCUCCAAAUAUAAUAUGUAAUUAUAAUAUAUGUUGGAAUAUACGUAUUAUACAUAAUACAUGUUAUAUAUCAUAUGAUAUGUAUUUAAUAUAUAUUAUAUAUGUAUAAUGUAAUAUACAUGUUAGGUAAUAUAUUAUAUGUAAUAUAUAUUGUGUGCAAAUAUAUAAUGUAUAAGGAUAUUGUAUAUUAGGAUAUAUAUAAUGUAUAUUAUAUAUACUUCAUUAUGUACUAAAAUGGGAGGCAGGUUUUUCCUAAGCAGUUCCCAGCUUGACUUUUCCCUUUGGCUUAGUGAUUUUUGGAUUCCAAGUUUUACUUUCCUUUUACUGUGUGAGUGUAUUUUUUAAAAGAACAUAUAUUAUAUAUCCUUAUAUAUUGUAUAUUAUAUAUAUCUUAAAUAUAUUGUGUAUUCUUACAUAUAUAUUCUCAUAUAUCCAUAUAUAUUUUAUAUAUCCUUAUAUAUAUGUACUGUAUUCUUUAUAACAAAUAUUUUAUAUAUUCUUACAUAUAUGUAAUAUGUAUUUUUAUAUAUUACACAUAGUAUAUAUUGUAUAAUAAUAUACAUUAUUCAUCAUAUUGUUUAUAAUAGUAUAUAUUAUUAAGGAAACUCCUUGUGGACAAAGGACAGAGAACUCAAAGUCAUCCCUCUGCUUGCUGAUAUAAAUGCAUAUCUGAUACUUUUUUGGAAAGGCUAAUCAGAAUCUCUAAAGAAUGCAACUGUUUGUCUCUUAACUACCUAUGACCCCAAAGCCUCCUCAACAGUUUGAAUUGUCCUGCCUUUUCGUAUGGAACCAGUAUACAUUUUACAUAUAUUGGUUCCAUGUCUCCCUGAAAUGUCUAGAACCAAGUGGAUCCCUGACCACCUUAAACACCUGUCAAGACCUCUUGAGGCUGUGUCACAGGUGCAUCCUUAGCCUUAGCAAAGUGACCAUCCUAAUGAUUGAGACUUGUCCCAGAUACUCUUGGUUUACAACACACAUAAGCAUACAUAAUGAAAUACAUUGCUGUCCCUUUGAACAAACUGUUAUAUGUUAGAUCAUUCAAGAAUAGGAAAAAAUCAGUGCUUUUACUUUUUCAAAUGUUCUGUCUUUAUUGCAUUUUCUUUCUUUAUGUCAUUUCCGUGUCUUUGCUAUUGUGAAUAAUGCUGUGAUAAAUUUCCAGGAGCAUGUGGCUUUUUGGUAGGAUGAAGUAUUUUGUGUUGGGUAUACACCCAGUAGGGAAUUGCUUAGUUCAGUAGUAGCUCUGUUUUAAGUUUUUUGAGAAAUCUCCAGACUGUUUACAAAAUCUCCAGACUGCUUUCCACAGUGCAGUCUGUAUUUCCACCAGUAGCGUAUUAGUGUUACCUUUUCUCUACAGCCUCACCAGGGUCUGCUGUUUCCUGACUUUUUAAUAACAGUCAUUCUGAUUGGUGUGGGAUGGUAUCUCAUUGUGGUUCUGAUUUGCAUUUGUAUGAUAAUUAGUGAUGAUAAACAUGUUUUCAUGUUUGUCGGCUACUUGUAUAAUUUUUCUUGAGAAGUGUCUGUUCGUGUCCCUUUCCUAUUUUUAGUGGGAUUAUUUGUUUUUUUGAUUGUUAAGUUCCGUACAGAUUCUAAACAUUAGAACUUUGUCAGCUGCAGAGUUGGGGUAAAUGUUUUAUACCAUUCUGUAUGUUGUCUGUUUCCUCUAUUCAUAGUUCAGUUUGCUAAGCAGAAGCUCUAAUUUGAUUAGGUCUUACUUGUCCAUUUUUGGUUUUAUUGUAAUAGCUUUUGUGGACUUAGCCAAAAAUUAUUUGCCAAAGUUAAUAUCAGGGAUAUUUCCUAGGUUUUCUUGAAGAAUUUUUACAGUUUGAGUUCUUACAUUUACAUUUUUAAUCCAUUUUGAAUAAAUCAUUUUACUUAAUUGAGAUGGAGUCUCUCUCACUUUGUCGCCCUGGCUGGUAUGCAGUGGCACAAUUUAGGCUCACUACAACCUCCACGUCUCAGGUUCAAGAGAUUCUCCUGCCUCAGCCUUCAGAGUAGCUGGGAUUAUAGGCUUGUGCUACCAUGCCCAGCUAAUUUUUGGAUUCUUAGUAGAGACAGUUUCACCACAUUGGCCAGGCUGGUCUCAAAACUCCUGACCUCAAGGGAUACACCUGUGUAGUCCUCCAAAAGUACUGGGAUUACAGGUGUGAGACACCAUGCCCAGCCUUGAGUAAAUAAUUUUAUAUUGUGAAACGUAGGGGUCCAGCUUCAGCCCAGAACCGUUUAUUGAAGAGGGGAUCCUUUCCCUAUUGCUUGUUUUGUCAGAUGAUUGUAGAUGUGCAGCUUCCUUUUCGAGUUCCCCGUUUUUUUCUGGUAGUUUACAUGUUUGCUUUUGUACCAGUACCAUGCUGUUUCAGUUACUGUAGCCUUAUAGAGUAGUGUGAAGUCGAGUAGUGUGAUGACUUCAGCUUCACUCUUUAUGCUUAGGAUUGCUUUAGCUAUCCACAUUCAUUUUUGCUUUAAUAUGAAUUUCAAAAUGGUUUUCUCUAAUUUGGCAAAAUAUUAUGUUGGUACUAAGAAAGGAGUAAUAUUGAAUCUAUAAAUUGCUUGGGCAAUGAUAGAGUUGGGAUAUUUGUUUCUGCCCAGAUCUCAUGUUGAGUUACAGAUCCCAGUGCUGGAGGUGGGUCCUGGCAGAAGGUGUUUGAACCAUGAGGGUGGAUCCCUCAUAGCUGGAUGCUGUCUUCAUAAAGUAAGUUCUUAUGAGAGCUGAUCAUUUAAAGGUGUGUGGCACCUUCCCCACCUCUCUCUCUCUCUCUCUCUCUCUCUCUCUCUCUCUCUCUCACACUCUCUUGCCCCUUGCAUUCUCACCAUGGGAUGUUGAUAUUCACUCAGGGUGGCUGGCAAAAUAUUAAAGAUAUAUUAGGAAGUUAUAGAUUAGUCUCAAGGCUUUUGGAAGGCUAAAAGUUUAUUGGGACAGGCUGAAGGUGGCAGGCCCAUUAGGGAGAAAAUAGGGACCAGGCUUUCCCAAUUUAAGUCUGCUUACCCCACAUCCCUUUGUCUCCAGUCUGUUUACUCAUGUAAAUUUUCUGCUGAGUGGUCCUCUCAGGGGGAGAUCAAAGGGGAAUUAACUGUUAAUAGUGUUUACUCUGGGCCCAGAACCUAAAGCUUUUAUUCAUAAAACCACUCUUUUAACCAUGUUAAUUAUCCACAAGAGUGUUGACUUAGACCCUCUGAUGUGCAAUUCAUAUUGAAUAAAUGUAAUGAUGGAGAGGGAAUCGUGGUUGAUUGGUUGCAUUUCGCCCUCUGAAAGCAGCCAGUGGCCAUCCCUAGCCCACUCAUAUCACUGUAAUGGUGUGAGAGUACAUUCAUUCAUCUGUCGUUAAGUCAAGGUCGCAGGCCAGACUUCCGCAGGUGGUAGACAUCUUAGAUGGUGACCCUGAUGUGAUAGCCGUCACAGCAGGAGCUCAAACGAGGAACAAACCAAUGUGAUCACUGCUGCAAAGAAGGAACAGCAGACCUCCUGAGACCAGAAAGUACAGAGGACUGUGCGGUCAGGUCAAGAAGUCGUGUACCCACUGGGGAUUGCCAAGCUUAGUGAGGCAUUGUUUCAGGCUAGGGAUUCAUCAUGGGACAGCAGUUAUCAGCUCAACAGAUAAAAGUACAGAAUGUAAUUCAAGCUGCUGUUUCCCAAGGCCCAUAGUUCUCGGUAAAGAACACACUGGAUGUAAAGCUUUGUGAACAAAUGGGGAGAAAUCAUGCACAAAAGCAUCUAAUACAUAGGCCAAGGCAGGUGGAUCACCUGAGGUCAGGAGUUUGAAACCAGCCUGGCCAAUGUGUAGAAACCCUGUCUCUACUAAAAAUACAAAAAUUAGCCAGGCGUGGUGGUGCACACCUGUUAUCCUAGCUCCUCAAAGGCUGAAGCAGGAGAAUCACUUGAACUGGGGAGGCAGAGGUUGCAGUGAGCCAAGAUCACUCCACUGCACUCCAGCCUGGGCAAUAAGAUCGAAACUCUGUCUCAAAAAUAACUAACUAACCGGAAUAGAUCAAUCCAUACAGACAGAAUGCAGAUUGGUGGUUAUCAGGGGCUGGAGGAAGGGUGGAAUGAGGAUAACCUGCUUAACUGGUAAGUGGUUUUACUUUGGAGUCAUGGUGAUGUUUUUGCAGAACAUUGUGAAUGUACUUAAAUGCCACUGACUUGUUCAUUUUAAGAUGGCUAAUUUUAUGUGAAGUGAAUUUCGGUUCAGUGAAUCCUUUUUCUUUAAAAAAAAAUGUGGCUGGGUGCUCUGGCUUAUGUCUGUAACCCCAGCAUUUUGGGAGGGCAAGGAGAUUGGCUCUUUCUGUGACAAAUGGCCAUUUUGGAUAUUUCAUAUAAAUGGCAUCAUACAGUAUGUGAUCUUUUGUGUCUGGCUUUUUUGACUUAGUGUAAUGUUUUAGAGGUUUAUUCAUGUUGGAGUAUUUAUCAGUACUUUACUUUUUUCAUGACCGAGUAAUACUCCAUUAUGUGUAUAUACUGUAUUUGUUUAUUCAUUCAUCCACUGAAGAACAUUUGGGCUGUUUCUGCCUUCUGCUUUUAUGAAUAGUGUUGCUCUGAACAUGCAUGUACAUGGGCUUAUUUUCAGUUAUUUUAAGUAUAUACCUAUGAGUGGAAUUGCAAGUCCUGUGGUAGUAGUAUAUUAUUGCUAUGUUACUGUUAAUGAUCUUCUGACAUGUUAGAGAUCAAAGCCAAUAUCUGCAGUUUCCCCAGAGUAUGUGAUUUCAGAGUUGUUGGCUGGGCUUAGAUUAGGAUUCAGAAUCUCUUUCCUGUAUGAAGAACUGAGUCAUAACAUUCUGGUCUUAUUAUUUGCAUUUUACUGAUGGGAUAAUUGAAGAACAGCUUCUGCAUGGUUUUAACUUCCUAUCAUUUUGAGAGCAAGUCAGUGAUGGAAUUAGGAAUUUAAGACUCUUAAUCAUGUUCUUUGUCUAAGAUGACCCGUAUAAAGCCAUGUUGCAUUUACAUGAAGCUAUUUGAAAUGGGCUUCCUAUAUUUUAUAAUCCCUUGGAGGGAUAUUGUUCAGGUGGUGUUAAGCAGAUGUUCUCUUUCCGUAGAGGACAGGACAAGAGGGAAUGAGUUUUAAUUGCAACAUAAAGGAUGUAGAUUACACAUUAGAGAUAACUUCCUGACUGCAAGAUACUGAAAUGUUGUUACCAAGGGAUAUUAUGAAGUAUCUUCUCCAAAGACUUUAUUUUUCUGGGAUCAUUUAGGUGUAAGCUUGUUUGGAAAUUAGGGAGAUGACAGAGAUGACUUGCUGAGGUCCCUGAUAACCCUGAGACAUAAUUGUUUGAUGGUUAAUCAAAGCAAUAUCUCUGGCUGGGCACAGUGACUCAUGUCUAAUCCCAGCACUUUGGGAGGCUGAUGUGGGAGGUUCUCUUAAGCCCAGGAGUGUGGGACCAGCCUGGGCAACAUACGGAGACCCCGUCUACAAAACAACAGCAACACCAACAUCUCUGGUAUUUUCAUGAGUAUAUUUUCACUUUUCUCACAAUGCAAUAAUCACUAGAGAGCAGGUGAAUUGCUCAAGGUUCCUGGUAAAAUAGCAGAUUAGUAUUCUAAAUCUUCUUGGAUUCUGCAUCCAUAUUGAAUACUCAGGGAUAUCUUUCUUAAGUGACUCUUUUCUUGGCUAUAUGAUAAGAGUUAUGAUUCUUCUUGAAUCAUAGUGAUCAAAGCCAGCAUCUGCAGCUUCCAUAGAGUGUAUGAUUUGAGAGUUGGCUAGGCUUAGAUUGGAACUGAGAAUUUCUUUCCUGUUAACAUAGCUUUGGUCCCUGGUUAUACAUGAGGAAAUGGGAACAUGUUAUUAAUAAUAGACCACGACAGUGGAUUCUUAAGGACUGGUUUAGGCAAGAGCCAGUUUAAAAUUGCUUAGGUGAGGGUGCACAUGACAGGUAUUUUUGGCUUACGGUGCCUGGAAAAAUAGAAGACUGGAAGAUGGGCAAAUGAACAUUCGAUUCUGUUGUAGAAUAUAAACAUGAAAAUACUCAUUUAAUCUUAGAAUUAAUUGCCAGUUUAAAUGCUCAGCUCAGGAAAUGCCAAAGUUAAGUUACUCAGUAUUACAGUAAUGUAUCCAUCUCAAAUGUAGCAUCUAUGUUAAGUAUCUCAUAAGGGAGAUCUCUUGUCUAUUACCAAAAUUGUGGUUUUUGGUCCAUGAGUCAGUGGCUGGCUGGGAGGCUAGGCUGGGAGGGUGCUAUGGUCUAAAUGUUUGUGUCUACCUGGAAUUUAUGUUGAAAUCCUCACCUACAAAGUGAUGGUAUUAGAAGGGGGGCUUUUGGGAGAUGAUUGGAUAAUGAGGACAGAGCCCUUACAAAAAAGAUGAGAGAGAUCCCCUGUCCUCUUUUACCAUGUGAGAACACAGCAAGAAGGCACUGUCUGUGAACCAGAACCUGGGCCGUGAACCAGAACAUGGGCCCAUACCAGAUAGCAGUGGACUUUCCAACCCCAGAAUGUUGAAAAACAAAUUUCUGUUUUUUAUGAGCUACCCGUUUUUUUGUUGUUGUUGUUGUUUUUCUUUUGUGACAGAAUUUUGCUCUUGUUGCCCAGGCUGCUGGAGUGCAGUAGUGCUCACUGUCUCAGCUCACUGCAGCCUCCACCUCCUGGGUUCAAGCUCUUCUCCUGCCUCAGCUUCCCAAGUGGCUGGAAUGACAGGCACGCACCAGCAUGGGCCACCAUGCCCAGCUAAUUUUGUUUUAGCAGAGACGGGGUUUCACCAUGUUGGUCAGGCUGGUCUCAAACUCCUGACCUCAGGUGAUCCACCCGCCUCAGCCUCCCAGCGUGCUGGGAUUACAGGUGUGAGCCACUGCACCUGGCCAGUUUUUGGUAUUUUGUUAAAGCAGUCCAAAAGGACUAAGAGGGAGUUAUUAAUACUAGUGGUACCUUUAAUGAAGGAUUUCUUAGGUUUAUUUUAGUUGGAGAGCAUUUACUUGUUCACUUCUCUGCUGCCAAGAAUAUCUUCAGACAUAUUUAUUGAGCUUUCUUGAAUUAGCAACAACUGUUAACACUACAGAUUUAUCUGUAGAAAGAAACUAACUUUUGAAUGUGAACCAUGUAUAGGGAGUUUUAUAUUUACUCUUCCAUGUAAUAUUUGUAACAAACCUGUAAAGGAUGAGGAAAAGUGAAGCAUUAUUUGAAAAAGUGAAACGUUUUUUCAAAGGUUAUACAGCUGGCAAAUGGUAGAGCUGAGAUGGAGAAUGCAAAGUCUUCAGUUUUUGUUUUUGCUUUUUUUUUUUUUUUUUGAGAUGGAGUGUUGCUCUGUCGCUCAGGCUGGAGUGCACUGGCACGGUCUCGGCUCACUGCAACCUGUGCCUCCCGGGUUCAAGCAGUUAGUCUGCCUCAGCCUCUCAAGUACCUGAGACUACAGGCGCCUAUCACCACACCCAGCUAAUUUUUGUAUUUUUAGUAGAGACAGGGUUUCACCAUGUUUGCUAGGCUAGUCUUGAACUCCUGACCUCGUGAUCCGUCUGCCUCAGCCUCCCAAAGGGCUGGGAUUUUAGGCGUGAGCCACCAUGCCCAGCCAAGUUUUCAGUUUUAACCAGUAUUUUUGAAAGUAUUCCUUGGAGGUGCCCAAGAGUUGACCAUGCGAGUAAGGAAGAGCUUUAGUUCUCCCACUUUGCUUAAGCCAGAGCAGCUCAACUUCGACCUGUUUCACAUUUUAGUGUUUUCACAUAAGAUGUCAUUUGGAAAAAGGAUUCCGUUUCUUUAAAAAGAGAAACCCUGGAAGACCAUCAAUUUGAGGAAUCAUAAAAGAAAGUUAGCUAAACCAAUCUAAAGAUUGAAAAGAUGACUAAAUUACGUAACUGCCAGUCAGGAAAUCAUGUCAAAGUUUGAAGUGACUUGAUAUCACAGCCACAUGUGCAGUGCAGUUAUUCUGCCCUUAGGAGCAUUGUACAGUAGGAAAAGAGCAUGGACUCAGGUGUUUGUUUUUGAGACGGAGUCUCUCUCUGUCACCCACACUGGAGUGCAGGGCCUCGAUCUUGGCUCACUGCAACCUGAGCCUCCCGAGUAGCUGGGAUUACAGGCGUGUGCCACCACAUCCGGCUAAUUUUUCUAUUUUGAGUAGAGACAGUUUCACCGUGUUGGCCAGGCUGGUCUUGAACUCCGGAUCAAGUGAUCUGCUCACUUUGGCCUACCAAAGUGCUGGGAUUAAAGAGUGAGCCACCGUGCCUGGCCAGAAUACUUCUUUUUUCCUUUUUUUUAAAAGCCAGCUCAGAAUAUUUCUUUUUAAAUCUGGUGGCUACUGGAUGUACCUCAUGGUAGGUGCUUAGUAUGCUUGUUUUUGAUGAAGUUAGUCUUUAAAGUGCUAUGAUUCUUUACUCAUAGAUGUGUCUGAUUGAUUAAAUGAGAAAACUUAGACUCCAUUAAGUUCAUUGUUACUGGAUUUAAAGCAGUAGCAGUGCAAAGGAACCCUAUAUAGUGAGUUAAGAGCCCUGGGCUUAUGUCUCAGAAAUGCCCCUAGUGAGUUUGUAACUAUGAACAAGUGAAUCUAACUUUUUGAGAUACUGAUUGAUUGAUUGAUUGAGACGGAGUCUCAUUCUGUUACCCAGGCUAGAGUGCAGUGGUGCAAUCAUGGCUUACUGCAGCCUUGACAUUCCCAGGCUCAAGUGAUCUUCCUGCCUCAGCCUCCUGAGUAGCUGGGACUGCAGGUGUGCGCCACCAUGCCUGGCUAAUAUUUGUUAUUUUUUUGUAGAGAUGGGGAUUUGCGAUAUUAUAUGCCCAGGCUGGGCUUGGACUCAGUGCUCAAUCCUCCCUCCUUGGCCUCCCAAACCACCAGUGAGUUUGGUCUCCCAAACAGGAGUGAGCUACUUUAUGGCACUUUUCACGAUUUUAUGUUCAAAAUGAUGCCCAAGUCACUUUUAACUCUGUAUAUCCAUCAUUUGACAAAAAAGUUAAACAUACUUUAUUUUCAUUGCUAGAAUUUCCAACAUUUACAGGUUAUUUUUGGAGAAAGUGCUUUGUGCUGACUUGAGCUGCCAAACUUGUGUUCAUACUUACUGAGCGUGUCCACUGCAGAGAUUUGUGUAGAAGGACAUUGGGGAUCUUUUGCUCAGGCAUAAGAAUUGAAAUUUGUGGCUUAUAGAAUAUCAGCAGAAUGAAGCAGAACCACUGUAAGGAAGCAAAUGUGAGAGAUUAUCUGUUGCUUUUGGGAAGAUAGCUGGCGUUUUCAAACCAGGCCACUCUGUACUUCCUUGAUGGUAACACUUGCCACAUUUCAGUACAGUGGUUACAGUUACAGUGUAUUGCAGUGUUGUCUUCCUACAAGCUCUCAGAGGUUGGAGGCCUUGUCUGUUUGUUUUUUCUACCUCUCUAUCCCUCCCACCUGCAGUAGACCUUGCUGCAUAGUGUAGACCUCCAAAAAUAUGCUCAAUGGACAAAAAUAGUUGAACCAAGAUCAGCAGACAUAUUUAGAAAAUGACUUGUACCUACAUACUUGCUAAAUGUAUUGAAAUUUUCUGUUGGCAUGUGAUAGUAUAGAAAAACCUGAUGAAGGAAAAAAACACAGUGUUGUAGCUUUUUAAUCCACAGUUUAUCUCUUACUGGCUUAAAAAAAAAUAUUAACAGCAGUCAAAUUAUGGUUUGAUGGAGGGCAAGUAAUAUCGUGUUGAGCCAAGGUUUUCUCUGUAAAACGGGAGUGAGCGUGAGCCACUGCACCUGGCCACUUUGCUUUCAAGUUUCCCUCUUUUUGCCCAGGCUGGAGUACAGUGGUGCAAUCUCAGCUCACUGCAGCCUCUGCCUCCUGGAUUCAAGCAGUUCUGCCUCAGCCUCCCAAGUAGCUGAGAUUACAGGUGCCCACCACCACUCCCAGCUAAUUUUUGUAUUUUUAGUAGAGAUGGGGUUUUGCCAUGUUGGCCAGGAUGGUUGUGCACUCGACCUCAGGUGAUCUGCCUGCCUCAGCCUCCCAAAGUGCUGGGAUUACAGACGUGUGCCACUGAGGUGCCCAGCUGUAUUGUUUUAUUUUUAUUUUUAUAUUUUUAGAUAGAGUCUCUCUUUUCUCCCAGGCUGGAGUACAGUGGCAUGAUCUUGGCUCACUGCAACCUCUACCUCCCAGGCUCAAGUAGUUCUUGUGUCUCAGCCUGUUAAGUAGCUGGGAUUACAGAUGUGCACCACCAUAGCUGGCUAAUUUUUGUUAGACAGGGUUUUACCAUGUUUGUUGGCCAGGCUGUUCUCGAACUCCUGACCUCAAGUGAUCACCCACCUCGGCCUCUUAAAUGCUGGGAUUAUAGGCAUGAGCCACUGCACCCAGCCUCAGCUGGGUUUUUCAAGUAUAGUUUGGCACACAGCGGGCUAGGAAUGGAUGCUACUAAUUGGUUGGGGUUGCAGUCAUAGGCACAUGGAAAACGGUCCUUAUGUAAUGAGUCUGCUUCUGGCUAGGGGCUACAGAGGAAUCGCUGGUCAGGGUGUGCUCAUCUUGUCAUCAGAAGUGCAAAAGUCUGACAAGACAUCUUAAAAGGGCAAUCUUGACUGGGCGUGGUGGUUUAUGCCUGUAAUCCCAGCACUUUGGGAGGCUAAGGCAGAUGGAUCACUUGAGGCCAGGAGUUGGAGACCAGCCUGGCCAAAAUGGUAAAACCCUGUCUCUACUAAAAAUACGAAAAUUAGCCAGGUGUGGUUGUGCUUGCAUGUACUCCCAGCUAUUUGGAUGGUUGAGGCAGGAGAAUUUCUUGAACCUGGGAGGUAGAGGUUGCAUUGAGCUGAGAUUGCUUCACUGCACUCCAGUCUGAGAGACAGAGCAAGACUCUUUCUCAAAAAAUAAAUAAAGCUGUGCGAAGUGGCUCACACCUGUAAUCCCAGCACUUUGGAAGGCUGAGGCGGGUGGAUCUCCAGAGGUCAGGAGUUCGAGACCGGCCUGGCCACCAUGGUGAAACCCUGUUUCUACUAAAAAUGGAAAAAUUAACUGGGCAUGGUGGUGUGCACCUCUAAUCCCAGGUGCCUGGGAGGCUGAGGCAUGAGAAUAGCUUAAACCCAGCAGGCGGAGACCACAGUAAGCUGAGAUGGGACCACUGCAUUCCAGCCUGGGUAACAGAGCAAGACUCUGUCUCAACCUUCCCCACCCCCAAAAAAACUAUUUAAUAUGCUUACUUUUUUUUUUAAUUUCAUUUUCUUGAGAUACGGCUUACUCUGUUGCCCAGGAUGGAAUAGAGUGUCGCAAUCUUGAAUCACUGCAAUCUCUGCUUCCUGGGUUCAUAUGCUUACAUUUAAUGGAUAAUCCUAAACUUGUGGCCUUUUAUUAGUUUUAUAAAGGCGGUUCAGUUUUGAGAAGGGAUAUUAUUAUUUAAACUAUAAACUAAAUUUCUCCUAAAGUUAGCUUGUCCUACACAUUUUACCAAGGGCAGUUAAAGGCAAGAUGGAGUUGGUUAGGUCAGAUCUGUUUCACUGUCAUGAUUUUUUUACUGUUAAAAUUUUAGCAAAGGCUGUUUCACAGUAGAUAAAGUUGCAUUGAAGCUUUUCCCAGAAAAUCCAGAGAGAAUGCCUUCGGGGGUAGAUGACUCAAUCCCCACCCCACUGGGUCCUGUCUGUAAUGUGUUUCAACUAUUAAUGUCUCUCAUUGUCAUUUUAAGACUGUUAUAUAAAUGGAAUUAUAUAGUAUAUAACCUUUUGUAUUGGCCUUUUUCACUCAGCAUAAUUCUCUUGAGAUUCAUCCAAGUUAAUAUUAUCAGUAGUUCCACUCUUUUUUCUUCUUUUCUUUUUUCUUUGUUUUAAAACUAGUCAAUAGUUAAGUGAAGCAGUGGGAGUUGUUUUUUUUUUUUUUUUUUUCUUGAGAUGGAGUCUUGCUUUUGUCGCCCAGGCUGGAGUGCAAUGGCUUGAUCUCAGAUCACUGCAGCCUCCAACCCCUGAGUUCAAGUGAUUCUCCUGCCUCAGCCAUCCAAGUAGCUGGGAUUACAGGUACCCACCACCACACCCAGCUAAUGUUUUUAUUUUUAGUAGAGGUGGGAUUUCACCCUAUUGGCCAGGCUGGUCUUGAACUCCUGACCUCAGGUGAUUCACCUGCUUCGGCUUUCCAGAGUACCAGGAUUACAGGUGUGAGCCACCAUGCCUGGCCAGUUCCACUUUUUUAAUUGCUAAAUAGUAUUUCAUGGGAUGCAUGUACUGUAGUUUGUUUAAUCAUUCACCCAUUGAAAGACAUCUGGCUAGGCACGGUGGCUUACACCUGUGUUUCCAGGACUUUGGGAGGCUGAGGUGGGCAGAUUGCUUUGAGACCAGCCUGGGCAACAGGGUGAAACUUUUAUCUCGCCUGGGUGUGGUGGCUCACGCAUGUGAUCUAAGCACUUUGGAGGCCAAGAUUGGUGGGUCACCUGAGGUUGGGAGUUCAAGACCAACCUGACCAACAUGGUGAAACCCCGUCUUUAUUUAAAAAAAAGAAAGAAAGAAACUCUAUGUCUACUAAAAAAUUAAAAAAAAAAAAAAAAUUAGUUGGGUGUGGUGGCUAACACCUAUGGUCACAGAUACUUGGGUGGCUGAGGUGGGAGGAUCACUUGAGACUGGGAGGUGGAGGUUGCAGUGAGCCAUUGGUCAUGCCACCCACUUUAGCCUGGGCAACAGAGGGAGACCUCUUCUGAAGAAUAAAGUCUGAAUUCCUCUAAUUUUUUUUGGCUAUGAUGAAUAAAACUACAUCAAUAUUUGUAUACAAGUUUUUUUUUUUUAAUUGCAUUUUAGGUUUUGGGGUACAUGUGCAGAACAUGCAAGAGAGUUGCAUAGGUACACACAUGGCAGUGUGUUUUGCUGCCUUCCUCCCCUUCACCCACAUUUGGCAUUUCUCCCCAGGCUAUCCCUCCCCAGCUCCCCCCCACUGCUGUCCCUUCCCUAUUCCUCCCAGUAGACCCCAGUAUGUAGUACUCCCUUUUCUGUUCAUGUGUUCUCAUUUUUCAUCACCCACCUAUGAGUGAGAAUAUGCAGUAUUUCAUUUUCUGUUCUUGUGUCAGUUUGCUGAGAAUGAUGUUCUCCAGAUUCAUCCAUGUCCCUACAAAUGACACAAACUCAUCAUUUUUUAUUGCUGCAUAAUAUUCCAUGGUGUAUAUGUGCCACAUUUUCCCAGUCCAGUCUAUCAUCGUUGGGCAUUUGAGUUGGUUCCAGGUCUUAGCUAUUGUAAACAGUGCUGCAUUGAACAUUCGUGUGCAUGUGUCCUUAUAGUAGAACAAUUAAUAGUCCUUUGGAUAUAUACCCAGUAAUGGGAUUGCUGGGUCAAAUGGAAUUUCUAUUUCUAAGGCCUUGAGGAAUCGCCACACUGUCUUCCACAAUGGUUGAACUAAUUUACACUCCCAUCAGCAGUGUAAAAGUGUUGCUAUUUCUCCACAUCCUCUCCAGCAUCUAUUGUCUCCAGAUUAAUGAUUGCCAUUCUAACUGGCAUGAGAUGGUAUCUCAAUGUGGUUUUGAUUUGCAUCUCUCUAAUGACCAGUGACGAUGAGCAUUUUUUCAUAUGAUUGUUGGCCUCAUAUAUGUCUUCUUUCGUAAAGUGUCUGUUCAUAUCCUUUGCCCAAUUUUGAAUGGGCUUGUAUGUUUUUUUUCCUGUAAAUCUGUUUGAGUUCUUUGUAAAUUCUGGAUAUCAGCCCUUUGUCAGAUGGGUAAACUGCAAAAAUGUUUUCCCAUUCUGUUGGGUUGCUGACUCACUCUAGUGACUGUCUCUUUUGCCGUGCAGAAGCUGUGGAGUUUGAUUAGGUCCCAUAUGUCUAUUUUGGCUUUUGUUGCCAAUGCUUUUGGUGUUUUGGUCAUGAAGUCCUUGCCUGCUCCCAUGUCCUGAAUGGUUUUGCCUAGAUUUUCUUCUAUGGUUUUUAUGGUGCCAGGUCUUAGGUUUAAGUCUUUAAUCCAUUUGGAGUUAAUUUUAGUGUAAGGUGUCAGGAAGGGGUCCAGUUUCUGCUUUCUGGACAUGGCCAGCCAGUUUUCCCAACACCAUUUAUUAAACAGGGAAUCCUUUCCCCAUUGCUUGUUUUGGUCAGGUUUAUCAAAGAUUGUAUGGUUGUAGAUAUGCUGUGUUGCCUCCGAUGCCUCUGUUCUGUUCUAUUGGUCUAUAUAUCUGUUUUGGUACCAGUACCAUUCUGUUUUGAUUACUGUAGCCUUGUAGUAUAGUUUGAAGUCUGGUAGUGUGAUGCCUCCCGCUGUGUUCUUUUUGCUUAGAAUUGACUUGGCUAUGCGGGCUCUCUUUUGGUUCCAUAUGAAGUUCAAGGUGGUUUUUUCCAGUUCUGUGAAGAGGCUGUCAUAGGUAGCUUGAUGGGGAUAGCAUUGAAUCUAUGAAUUACUUUGGGCAGUAUGGACAUUUUCACAAUAUUGAUCCUUCCUAACCAUGAACAUGGAAUGUUUCUCCAUCUGUUUGUGUCCUCUCUUAUUUCGUUGAGCAGUGGUUUGUAGUUUUCCUUGAAGAGGUCCCUUACGUUCCUUGUUAGUUGUAUUCCUAGGUAUUUUAUUCUCUUUGUAGCAAUUGUGAAUGGCAGUUCGUUCUUGAUUUGGCUCUCUUUAAGUCUGUUAUUGGUGUAUAGGAAUGCUUGUGAGUUUUGCACAUUGAUUUUAUAUCCUGAGACUUUGCUGAAGUUACUUAUCAGUUUCAGGAGUUUUUGGGCUGAGGUGAUGGGGUCUUCUAGGUAUACUAUCAUGUCAUCUGCAAAUAGAGACAAUUUGGCUUCCACCUUUCCUAUUUGAAUACCCUUUCUUUUUUUUGCCUGAUUGCUCUGGCUGGAACUUCCAGUACUAUAUUGAAUAGGAGUGGUGAGAGAGGGCAUCCUUGUCUAGUGCCAGAUUUCAAAGGGAAUGCUUCCAGUUUUUGCCCAUUCAGUAUGAUAUUGGCUGUUGGUUUGUUGUAAAUAGAUUUUAUUACUUUGAGAUACGUUCCGUCAAUACCGAGUUUAUUGAGGGUUUUUAGCAUAAAGGCUGUUGAAUUUUGUCAAAUGCGUUCUCUGCAUCAAUUGAGAUAAUCAUGUGGUUUUUGUUUUUGGUUCUGUUUAUGUGGUGAAUUACGUUUAUAGACGUGCAUAUGUUGAACCAUCCUUGCAUCCCCGGGAUGAAUCCUACUUGAUCAUGAUGGAUACGUUUUUUGAUGUGCUGUUGCAAUCGGUUUGCCAGUAUUUUAUUGAAGAUUUUUGCAUCUAUGUUCAUCAUGGAUAUUGGCCUGAAGUUUUCUUUUCUUGUUGGAUCUCUGCCGGGUUUUUGUAUCAGGAUGAUGUUGGUCUCAUAAAAUGAUUUGGGAAGAAUGCCCUCUUUUUGGAUUAUUUGGAAUAGUUUCAGAAGGAAUGGUACCAGCUCCUCUUUGUGUGUCUGGUAGAAUUCGGCUGUGAACCCAUCUGGACCUGGGCUUUUUUUGUGUGGUAGGCUCUUAAUUGCUGCCUCGACUUCAGACCUUGUUAUUGGUCUAUUCAUAGUUUCGGCUUCCUCCUGGUUUAGGCUUGGGAGGACACAGGUGUCCAGGAAUUUAUCCAUUUCUUCCAGGUUUACUAGUUUAUGUGCAUAGAGUUGUUUGUAAUAUUCUCUGAUAAUGGUUUGAAUUUCUGUGGAAUCUGUGGUGAUUUCCCCUUUCUUGUUUUUUAUUGCAUCUAUUUGGUUGUUCUCUCUUUCUUUUUUAUCAGUCUGGCUAGUGGUCUAUUUUGUUGAUCUUUUCAAAAAACCAGCUCCUGGAUUUAUUAAUUUUCUGAAGAAUUUUUCGUGUCUCUAUCUCCUUCAGUUCUGCUCUGAUCUUAGUUAUUUCUUGUCUUCUGCUAGAUUUUGAGUUUUUUUGCCCUUGCUCCUCUAGGUCUUUCAAUUUUGACGACAGCGUGUCAAUUUUGGAUCUCUCCACUCUUCUUCUAUGGGCACUUAUUACUAUAUAUUUUCCUCUGGAGACUGCUUUAAAUGUGUUCCAAAGUUUCUGGUAUGUUGUGUUUUAGUUCUUGUUGGUUUCGAAGAACUUCUUUAUUUCUGCCUUCAUUUUGUUGUUUAUCCAGUCAACAUUCAAGAGCCAGUUGUUCAGUUUCCAAGAAGCUGUGCGAUUCUGAGUUAGUUUCUGAAUUCUGAGUUCUAACUUGAUUGCACUAUGGUCUGAGAGACUGUUUGUUAUGAUUUCAGUUACUUUGCAUUUGCUGAGGAGUGCUUUACUUUCAAUUAUGUGGUCAAUUUUAGAGUAGGUGUGAUGUGGUGCUGAGAAGAAUGUAUAUUCUUUGGAUUUGGGGUGGAGAGUUCGGUAAAUGUCUAUCAGGUUUGCUUCUUCCAGGCCUGAGUUCAAGCCCUGGAUAUCCUUGUUGAUUUUCUGUCUGGUUGAUCUGUCUAAUAUUGACAGUGGAGUGUUAAAGUCUCCCACUAUUAUUGUGUGGGAGUCUAAGUCUCUUUGUAAGUCUUUAAGAACUUGCCUUAUAUAUAUGGGUGCUCCUGUAUUGGGUCCAUAUAUAUUUAGGAUCAUUAGCUCUUCUUGUUGUAUCAAUCCUUUUACCAUUAUGUAAUGACCUUUUUUGUCUCUUUUGAUCUUUGUUGCUUUAAAUUCUAUUUUAUCAGAGAUGAGAAUUGCAACUCCUGCUUUUUUUUGCUCUCCAUUUGCUUGGUAAGUCUUCCUCCAUCUCUUUUUUUGAGCCUUUGUGUAUCCUUGCAUAUGAGAUGUGUUUCAUUUUUUGUCUUUUUAAAUCUUCAUUGAUUUAAAGUCUGUUUUAUUACAAACUAGGAUUGCAGCCCCUGCUUUUUUUGUUUUCAGUUUGCUUCAUAGAUUUUUCUGCAUCACUUUAGUUUGAGCUGAUGUGUGUCACUGCAUGUGAUAUGGGUCUUUUGAAGACAAUAUACUAAUAGGUCUUAGUUCUUUAUCUAGCUUGCCACUCUGUGUCUUUUAAAUAGAGAGGAACAACACACACUGGGGGUUGUCAGGCGGUUAGAGGGUAACCUGUCAGGGAGGAGGAAAAGGAUCAGGAAAAAUAACAGGUACUAGGCUUAAAACCUGGAUGAUAAAACUAUCUGUACAACAAACUCCCAUGACACAAGUUUACCCAUGUAACAAAGCUGAACACAGUCCCUGGACUUAAACUUUAAAAAGAAGAAAAAGAAAAAUUGGUCUAAGAGCGUAUUUCCUAAUUUAAGGAUGCACACUGAAUUUCACUUAAAAUAUACACAAAGACUAAAGUCACCAUUGAGAGAAUAAAAUCUUUUUGUGUAUUUUUGAGUAUGGGGGAUUAUACUCAAUUGAGUUUCACAUUGUCUUUCUUGUAUACCCAGAAGACUUUUUUAGUAACUAAUUUUACUUUCCUACCUUGGGAAAGAAUGUAAGUACUUUUUUGUAAUAGUUUGGUCUUAUCAUCCUUUGAGUUUUAUACUCUUUUUCCUCAAUUAAAUCUUAUAAUUAUCUCACACUACCUUGACAGUGAUUAUUCUGAUUCACCUUUAUUAUUUCCAAAGCAUGCAAUUUUCUUAAUAGAACUCUUUUUCUAAUGAUUUUAAGUGCUUAUUUAAUUUAAUUAAUGCAUGUAAUUGAAAAGAGCAGUAACAUUGGCUUUAACAGUUUUACAAGAGCUAGCUGAGUCUUAAUAAGCGUUAACAUUUAAUGCAGAGAAGUGUGUGGCUCACUAGAGAAUAGCUACAAGCUUAGUGAGUUAAGAGAGCUUUGGACCCUAGCCAGGAUGUCUAACAGAGGAGUGGUUCUCAAAUAUGGUUGAUUUUUUUCCCCUCGGUGAUUUGGCUAUGUCAGGAGACAUUGGCACGACUGCUGAGGGUAAAGUUGUUCUUGGUACCUGGUGAGUAGGAGCCAGGGAUGCUAGCAAACAUCAUGGAGGGUACAGGGCUGUCCCCAAAACAAGGAGUUGUCUGUUAAUAGUUUCACUGUGACGGUACCUUGUUUACAGAGGAAAUGGAGAGCUUCUAAACCUCUGAGCCCUUUAAGAGGAAUACAUAUUGCAAAUGCUAUUGUUUCAACUACUAGGAUUUGUUUGCAUCCAGAGGCAAGUUGAAAAGUCCUAUUUUCUUCAACCUUUUAUAUUCCACACCAAAGUAAAUAUUAGGUUGUACACAGAAAGUACUCCAACUCUUGUUCAGUGAUACAGAAACAGGAUGCCAAAAUGACUUGUUACAAGCUGAAGGGGAGGUAAAAAAAUAUUAUAGUGAAAAUAAAUAUGGAGCAUGUGAAAGCCUUAAGAAGGUGGAAAAGUGGCAAAAGUAAAAAAUAUGUUUCCAAAAAAUUUUAGUUAUGCUCUCCUUUGUAAGCAAAAAUCCCCUUCUAUUACAAACUGUUUAAAACACCCUAAAAUAUCAUGUUCUGCUAUUUUAGAAGGUUACAAGUAUGGUGGCCGAUACACAAUAUGUUUACUCGACAUUAACCUGAAUUACUACUAAAUUUAAUCUUGCUUACACAUAAAUACAAGCUAUACUAACAAGUUGGAUUGUUUUAAGAAGAGAUGAAUAAUAUUGAAAAUAAUUUUAUGCCAAUAGGAAAGAAUAAAAAACAGGAUAUUUCUUUUUUUUUUUUUUUUUAAAAAGAAGGGGAAAAAAAGAAAAAGAGGGAAAAAGGAAUAUUACUUCAUUCCUAGAAUGGGUUUCAAUAAUGGCCGAUCAAUAUUUUGAGUGUUUAAAGUGGUUAAUGCAUAUUUUAUGUGUUUAAAAUGGAGACCUCUAUUGUGUUUAUUUGUUCUGGCUCUGAGUUCAAGUCCUGGAUAUCAUUAUUAAUUUGUUGUCUCGUUGAAUCUAAAUCUCAUUAUGUGUCUUAGUAUCUGGGUGUUAAGAUCUCUUAUUGUUACAUUAAUCCUUUUACCCUUGCAUCCUUAUAGCUUUGAAAUCUAUUUUAUUAAGUGUGAGAAUUGCAACUCCUGCUUUUUAUUUAUUUAUUUUUGCUCUCCAUUUGGUUGGUCUUUUUCCAUCCCCUUGUUUUGAGUCUUUGUGUAUCUUUAGAUAUAUCGUUAGAUUUUGUGGAUAAUGUAUAUUUUGUGUGUUUAAAAUGGAGAGCUCUAUUGAGUUUAUUUGUUCUGGAUCUUAGUUCCAGUCCCGGAUAUCGUUAUCAAUUUUCUGUCUCGUUGAAUCUAAAUGUCAUUAUGGGUCUUAUGUAUCUGAGUGUUAAGAUCUCUUAUUAUUACAUUAAUUCUUUUACCCUUGUAUCCUUGUAGCUUUGAAAUCUAUUUUGUCAAAUGUGAAAAUUGCAACUCCUGCUUUUUAUUUAUUUAUUUUUGCUCUCCAUUUGGUUGGUACUUUUUUUUUUUUCCAACCCUUUAUUUUGAGUCUAUGUAUAUCUUUGGAUAUACCGUUAGAUUUUGUCUGUAUCUUUUGAUUGGGAGAUUUGGUCGAUUUAAAUUUAGGGUUGCUGCCAUUUGAUAUUAACUGGCUAUUUUGUCCUUUCAUUGAUAAAAAUUCUUCUUUAUGUUAAUGCUCUUUACUUUUUGGUGUAUUUUUAGAAAGGGUCAUACUGGUUGUUCCUUUCUGUAUAUAAUGCUUCUUUUAGAAGUUCUUGUAAAGCAGGCCUGGUGGUAAUAAAAUCUCUGAGUACUUGCUUGUUCCUAAAAGAUUUUAUUUUUCCUUCAAAUGUAAAGCUUAAAUUGGCAGGAUAUGAAAUUCUGGGCUGAAAGUUCUGUUGAUUAAGUAUAUUGAAUAUUGGCCCCCACUGUCUUCUAGCUUGUAGGGUUUCCGUUGAGAGAUCUGCUGUAAGCCUAAUAGGCUUACCUUUAUGGGUAACUUGAUCUUUCUCUCUGGCUGCCCUUAAUAUUUUCUCCUUCGUUUCAAUCUUGGUGAAUCUAACGAUUAUGUGCCUUGGGGCUGGUCUUCUUGAGGAAUAUCUUUGUGGUGUUCUCUGUAUUGCCUGGGGUUGAAUAGUGUCCUGCUUUGCUAAACUAGGAAAAUUUUCCUGGAUAAUGUCCUGGAGAGUAUUUUCCAGCUUGAAUUCAUUCUCUCUGUCACAUUCAGGUACACCAAUCAAGCGUAUAUUAGGUCUUUUCACAUAGUCCCAUAUUGCUUGGAGACUUUGCUCAUUCCUUUUUAUCCUUUUUUCUCUAUUCUUGUCUUGUCGUUUUGUUUCAUUAAGUUGGUCUUCGACCUCUGAUACCCUUUCUUCUGCUUGAUCCAUUCGGCUGUUUAAGCUUGUACAUAUUUCACUAAGUUCUCGUGCUGUAUUUUUUAACUCCAUAAGUUCAUUUGUAUUCCUCUCUAUAUUGUCUAUUCUUUGCAAACAUUUCAUCUAACCUUUUUUCCAAGUUCUUAGUUUCUUUACAUUGGGUUAGAACAAGUUCCUUUAACUCCCAGAAGUUUCUUAUCAUCCACCUUUUAAAGCCUACUUCAGAUAAUGGAACACAGUCCUUUUCCAUCAGGGCUUGUUUGGUUGCUGAUGAGUCCUUUUCCAUCAGGGCUUGUUCUGUUGCUGAUGGGUUCUGAUUUUGAGUAUACUCGGCCUUCUUCGGCUGUUUUUUCCCCUUCAUUGUAGAUGACCCGCCUUUCUAAUUAGGUUUCUGAGUCGACGUCCGACUUAUUGAUCCCCAGUGCUGGGAUCCGAGCCACCCACUGUGGCGGCCUAAAUAGCAGCGAUAAGACUGAUAGUGCUCUUCUGCCCAGGAAUCUCUGGUCUGGCUUCCCUCUUGAGUCCGCAACAAGCGGCUCUGACUUCCCGGAGCUCCAAACUCCGGUCAGUAGGGGAAGCGGUCCCGUUGGCUCUGCAUGAAGAGCUGCUGCGCCGAGACGCCGGCAAAACCGCUGCGGCAGCCACAAGAAUCGCGCUGGCGACCCGUGGGGCUCCUCCACUGGGAAUCGGCUAAUCGCUACAUUAUACUGUAUUUUGAAGGUGAGUGAUUUCAGCAAGCUUUGGUCUUAUGCCAGCAUACUAGCAAACCCAGCAGGGUGGUGAGUGCUAGAUAGUUGCAAAAUUAAUAUUAGGAGAAAUGUAAGUAAUUACAUUUAACACCUUAAUAUUGACUUUUGUCUGGACAUUUACAUGUAAUAUUUAUUAUGCACAAGCAGAUGUUAACAUUCAUGUUGGAAAGGUAAAAAUCUUUGGAAAACUAAACAUGGGAACUCCCUGAUAACUUCACUAUUGAAUAGUAACAUCCUUUUUUUUUGUUUGAUCGUCAUCUACAAAUGACUUUUUAGAAUAUUAUUUGUCUUAAUUUGCUUUGAAAACUCUUAAGUUUUUAUCCCUGUACUGGUUUUAAACAUUAUGAAACUUCAGCCCUAUCUUUAGCCUGACUGCCCUCUCUUCCAUAAGAACCAAGUAUUGAGUCACGGGAAGCUGAUCAUUUGCCUCUGUUAAGAUAAAUUCAUAGGCAGGUCAUGGGUCUAGGAAAGUGCCAUGGCAUUACAGUCUUGACAUCAGUGUGUCUGAUACAGACACAAGCUCCCCUGAAAAAAAAUAGCCCGGUUCUGGAAGUACGCAAACCCUUAAAUGUCAUUCCAGUUGCAGCAUUUAUAUAGUUUCAAAAUGUCACAUUUAUUUUAUGUAAUAGCUACUGAAACAGAAUAGUAUUUUUCUUUUUAAAGGAUGAAAUUGAGAUUUUUAAGCUGAAGGUAGUAAGCCAGAUGCUGAACUGGAACUAAAGUUUUAAGAAUACAAGAAAAAUAAAUCCUAUCAUAGGUAACAGAAUGAUUUGCAAAGUGCAAAAAUAAAUUUAAAAAACCAUUAUGCAGAGGCAAUUGAAGUAAACAAAACCACUAGAAUCACAAAAAUGAAAAGGACUUUAAGUGAUCACUACCAAAGCUACUCAGAAGGAAGCUUUUAAAAAGGAACAUUGCAUAAAGAAUGUCAUGAAUUGAGAAUGUGCAGAGUGCCAUGGACAAAAACAUCAUAAAGAUAAUAGCAGAUCCUGAUAUGAUGCUACUUUUUCUGGAAGCUUCCAAGGAAUACAUGCUAAAAGAUUGCUCUAUGUAAAAAUAUUCUGAGAUAUUUUGAAUCUUUGUCCUAAACGUAAUAAAAGAGUCCACUGUUGAACCAUGAGAGGCUAUAGGAUGCUUUUACCAAUUUUUGGAAAAGGCCUAAGGUGGUCUAAAAAUAAGCUGAAAGUUUUUUUUUUCCUUUCUAAGUCUAAACCAGAUUCUUAUACCUUAUAACUCCAAAAUGUCCAACAUGGUAAGAAGAUUUAUAUGCUGUAACAAAAAACACCAAGAAAUAAUAAAAGUCCAAGAAAACUUUCAACUGAGCAAGUCUAGUUCAUGCAACAAAGAAAAAUUCCACAGUAUAUAUUGUCUUUUCCUUUUGGGGUGAUGAAGACAAGAAAAAUGGCAUUAAGGUGAGAUACAUCAUAGCAAAUAUAAUUACUAAAUAAAAUAUAAUAUAGCUAGAAUGUGAGGAGUGUGAAGAUGAAGUGUAAAAUAAAGAUGAAGACAAAAAGACUGUAACUGAGAGAGUCUCAUGUUGAAGAUUCCAGUCUUGGAAACACUAAGAAAAAUAAGAAACAAGUAACAAAGCAGAUGAGUGACAUGAUUAUAAACAGAAUAAGGUGAUAGGGGUAACAGUGGGAACAGUGAAGAAAUUCAAGAGAUUUCAGGUCAGAAACAGAUAUUGAUUUGAUAUUGGUGAAAAGAAGAGAGCUUUCUGAUUUUGUUUUCUGAUUUUUAAUGUUCUUUCCAGGUUUUUUAAUUUAAUAUUUUCUGGCUUUAAAUAUUUAUUAUUUUUCUGCUCAGGUUUUUUAAUUUGGAUAAUGUGAUGAGCAGUGCUGCCAAUACUGGAAUUGAGAAGUAUAAAUUUUAUGCUUGGAUUGUUGGUAUAAUAAGUUAAUUUUUAUUCAUUUUGAAUUUUUGUGUUCCUCUGAAGCAUGAAUGAGAAGAAAUUCCUUAGGUUUUGUAUGCAGAAAAGGCAUCUAGAUUCAAAUGUGAAUUUGAGGGUUGUCAGCACAUAGAUAAUAAUUCACAAUGAUCAGUAAACUUAUUUUUUAAAAAUUUGUGCUAAUUGUGGUAGGAAAUAAACUGCAAAAAGCAUUUAUUAAUUCUA